UAGGGAAUCUUCGGCAAUGGACGGAAGUCUGACCGAGCAACGCCGCGUGAGUGAAGAAGGUUUUCGGAUCGUAAAGCUCUGUUGUAAGAGAAGAACGAGUGUGAGAGUGGAAAGUUCACACUGUGACGGUAUCUUACCAGAAAGGGACGGCUAACUACGUGCCAGCAGCCGCGGUAAUACGUAGGUCCCGAGCGUUGUCCGGAUUUAUUGGGCGUAAAGCGAGCGCAGGCGGUUAGAUAAGUCUGAAGUUAAAGGCUGUGGCUUAACCAUAGUACGCUUUGGAAACUGUUUAACUUGAGUGCAGAAGGGGAGAGUGGAAUUCCAUGUGUAGCGGUGAAAUGCGUAGAUAUAUGGAGGAACACCGGUGGCGAAAGCGGCUCUCUGGUCUGUAACUGAUACACACGCUCGAAAGCGUGGGGAGCAAACAGGAUUAGAUACACUGGUANUCCCCCCCCUANACGAUGAGUGCUAGGUGUUGGGUCCUUUCCGGGACUCAGUGCCGCAGCUAACGCAUUAAGCACUCCGCCUGGGGAGUACGACCGCANGNUG
Molecule: ribosomal RNA, 549 nt
Filed under: uncultured bacterium
Lineage: Bacteria
Description: bacterial SSU rRNA
Rfam family: Bacterial small subunit ribosomal RNA
Source: RNAcentral